UUUGUUACUUCAAACCAAUCGGACUUCGGUCUGACAUCAAGUGAUAUCGAACAAUUUAGCUGAUCGCACGGUCUAAGAACCGGCGACAUAUCCUUCAAAUGUCUGCCUUAUCAACUUUCGAUGGUAGAUUAUGCGCCUACCAUGGUUGUAACGGGUAACGGAGAAUCAGGGUUUGAUUCCGGAGAGGGAGCCUGAGAAACGGCUACCACAUCCAAGGAAGGCAGCAGGCACGCAAAUUACCCACUCCCGGCACGGGGAGGUAGUGACGAAAAAUAACAAGCUGGUCUCAAUGAGUUCCUGCAUUGUAAUGGGAACAAUUUAAAUCUUUUAUCGAGGAUCUAUUGGAGGGCAAGUCUGGUGCCAGCAGCCGCGGUAAUUCCAGCUCCAAUAGCGUAUAUUAAAGUUGUUGCGGUUAAAAAGCUCGUAGUUGGAUCUAGGAUUAGGGCUACGGUCGUUCAGCUUGGACGUACUGUAUGCCCGACUCCUUUUCUCUAGUAUUCGAUUGUUGCUCUUAAAUGAGUGACUUUAGUUGCUGGAACUUUUACCUUGAAAAAAUUGAAGUGCUCAAAGCAGGUU
This 576-nucleotide ribosomal RNA is filed under the name uncultured eukaryote. RNAcentral's name for it is "SSU rRNA". It matches the Rfam family "Eukaryotic small subunit ribosomal RNA", at positions 203 to 786 of the family's 1831-position model. The record is from RNAcentral.